UUUGUAUAAGUAUAUUUAAGUAUGUGUAUAUGUGUAUAUCCACAUAUAUGUUAAUAUAAACACACACAUACACACACAUGUAAGUGUACAUACA
This 94-nucleotide microRNA precursor is filed under the name Chlorocebus sabaeus (green monkey). Its description in RNAcentral is "miRNA (ENSCSAG00000020081.1)". Lineage: Eukaryota; Metazoa; Chordata; Mammalia; Primates; Cercopithecidae. The record is from RNAcentral.